RNAcentral lists this ribosomal RNA (517 nucleotides) under uncultured soil bacterium. RNAcentral describes it as "bacterial SSU rRNA". It matches the Rfam family "Bacterial small subunit ribosomal RNA", at positions 26 to 525 of the family's 1533-position model. The record is from RNAcentral.
AGAGCGAACGUUAGCGGCGCGCUUAACACAUGCAAGUCGAACGAGAAAGGGACUUCGGUCCCCGGUAAAGUGGCGCACGGGUGCGUAACACGUAGGCAAUCUUCCCUUUGGAGGGGGAUAACUACCCGAAAGGGUAGCUAAUACCGUGUAAGACCACGAGCUCCACGGAGCUUGCGGUCAAAGGAGGCCUCUUCAUGAAAGCUUCCACCAGAGGAUGAGCCUGCGGCCCAUCAGCUAGUUGGCAGGGUAACGGCCUACCAAGGCUAAGACGGGUAGCCGGGUCUGAGAGGAUGAUCGGCCACACUGGCACUGAAACACGGGCCAGACUCCUACGGGAGGCAGCAGUGGGGAAUCUUGGACAAUGGGCGAAAGCCUGAUCCAGCGACGCCGCGUGGGUGAUGAAGGCCUUCGGUUGUAAAGCCGUGUUGAGGGAAAGAAACGUGGCGCGAAUAGCUCCGACCUUGACGGUACCCUCAGAAACGCACCGGCUAACUCUAGUGCCAGCAGCCGCGUAAUC